AUUGAACGCUGGCGGCAGGCCUAACACAUGCAAGUCGAGCGGAUGAAGGGAGCUUGCUCCUGGAUUCAGCGGCGGACGGGUGAGUAAUGCCUAGGAAUCUGCCCGGUAGUGGGGGAUAACGUCCGGAAACGGGCGCUAAUACCGCAUACGUCCUGAGGGAGAAAGUGGGGGAUCUUCGGACCUCACGCUAUCAGAUGAGCCUAGGUCGGAUUAGCUAGUUGGUGGGGUAAAGGCCUACCAAGGCGACGAUCCGUAACUGGUCUGAGAGGAUGAUCAGUCGCACUGGAACUGAGACACGGUCCAGACUCCUACGGGAGGCAGCAGUGGGGAAUAUUGGACAAUGGGCGAAAGCCUGAUCCAGCCAUGCCGCGUGUGUGAAGAAGGUCUUCGGAUUGUAAAGCACUUUAAGUUGGGAGGAAGGGCAGUAAGUUAAUACCUUGCUGUUUUGACGUUACCAACAGAAUAAGCACCGGCUAACUUCGUG
This 484-nucleotide ribosomal RNA is filed under the name uncultured bacterium. RNAcentral describes it as "partial 16S ribosomal RNA". It matches the Rfam family "Bacterial small subunit ribosomal RNA", at positions 30 to 507 of the family's 1533-position model. The record is from RNAcentral.